This 369-nucleotide ribosomal RNA is filed under the name uncultured organism. RNAcentral describes it as "bacterial SSU rRNA". It matches the Rfam family "Bacterial small subunit ribosomal RNA", at positions 526 to 896 of the family's 1533-position model. The record is from RNAcentral.
CGUAGGAUCCUAGCGUUGUCCGGAUUUACUGGGUGUAAAGGGUGCGCAGGCGGACUUGUAAGUCAGGGGUGAAAUCUCGGCGCUUAACGCCGAAACUGCCUUUGAUACUAUAAGUCUUGAGUUUGGUAGAGAUCCGUGGAAUUCCGAGUGUAGCAGUGAAAUGUGUAGAUAUUCGGAAGAACACCAGCGGCGAAGGCAGCGGAUUGGGCCAAUACUGACGCUCAGGCACGAAAGCAUGGGGAUCAAACAGGAUUAGAUACCCUGGUAGUCCAUGCCCUAAACGAUGUACACUUGAUGCCGGCAUUUAACGUGUCGGUGUCGGAGCUAACGUGUUAAGUGUACCACCUGGGGAGUACGCUCGCAAGGGUG